UAAAUCUGUAAUACAGUUUAAUUUCGAAUGAUUGCAUCGAGACUCCAGACUUUUUCUGCUCGAGUAACCGAGUUAAGUGAGAAAUUUGUCAAUGUAACACCUAAAUCUUGGGGACAGGUUCACAAUUUAAUUUCAUCGUUAAUUUAGUUUGAUUUGGUUUGGUUUGGUUUGGUUUAGUUUCGAAUGAUUAUAUCGAGAUUUGAGAUAAUUUUUCUACUCGAGUUAAGUUAGAUUUGAAAUGAUUUUUCUGUUCGAAUUAAGUUAGAAAUUUGUCAAUAUAACACCUAAAUCUGGGGAAUAGCUUGACAAUUUAAUUUCAUCGUUAAUUUAGUUUGAUUUGGUUUGGUUUGGUUUAAUUUAGUUUCGAAUGAUUAUAUCGAGAUUUGAGAUAAUUUUUCUGCUCGAGUGAAGUUAGAAAUUUGUCAGUAUAACACCUAAAUAUGGGGGACAGCUUGAUAAUUUAAUUUCAUCGUUAAUUUAGUUUGGUUUGGUUUGGUUUGGUUUGGUUUAGUUUCGAAUGAUUAUAUCGAGAUUUGAGAUCAUUUUUCUGCUCUAGUUAAGUUAGAAAUUUGUCAAUAUAACACCUAAAUCUGGGGAAUAGCUUGACAAUUUAAUUUCAUCGUUAAUUUAAUUUAAUUUAGUUUGGUUUGGUUUGGUUUAGUUUAGUUUCGAAUGAUUAUAUCGAGAUUUGAGAUAAUUUUUCUGCUCGAGUUAAGUUAGAAAUUUGUCAAUAUAACACCUAAAUAUGGGGGACAGCUUGAUAAUUUAAUUUCAUCGUUAAUUUAGUUUGGUUUGGUUUGGUUUGGUUUAGUUUCGAAUGAUUAUACCGAGAUUUGAGAUAAUUUUUCUACUCGAGUUAAGUUAGAAAUUUGUCAAUAUAACACCUAAAUCUGGGGAAUAGCUUGACAAUUUAAUUUCAUCGUUAAUUUAGUUUGGUUUGGUUUGGUUUGGUUUAGUUUCGAAUGAUUAUAUCGAGAUUUGAGAUAAUUUUUCUGCUCGAGUUAAGUUAGAAAUUUGUCAAUAUAACACCGAAAUCUGAGGAAUAGCUUGACAAUUUAAUUUCAUCGUUAAUUUAGUUUAAUUUAGUUUGGUUUGGUUUGGUUUGGUUUAGUUUCGAAUGAUUAUAUCGAGAUUUGAGAUGAUUUUUCUGUUCGAAUUAAGUUAGAAAUUUGUCAAUAUAACACCUAGAUCUGGGGGACAUCUUCAGAAUUUAAUUUCAUCGUUAAUUUAGUUUAGUUUGGUUUAGUUUGGUUUCGAAUGAUUAUAUCGAGAUAUGAAAUCAUUUUUCUGCUCGAGUUAAGUUAGAAAUUUAUCAAUGUAACACCUAAAUCUGUCGGACAGUUUGACAAUUUAAUUUCAUCGUUAAUUCAGUUUAGUCUAGCUCAAACCUGUGAUUACACCCGAGUCACACUUUGAAACACACAAUUCUAUAUUCUUCUCAUUGUAAAAUUGGCACGCGACGACUCGGACAACGUUAGAUUACAGAAUAAUUUACGUUGUGAUUCACUUUGAAGGGGACCCAAGAUUUUUUUCAAAACCUGAUGAAUCUUUUGAAAUCCGAACACUUUUGGACAGUGUGGAGGAUCGUCGAUUACGUUACCUUUCCGUGGAGCCAGUAGAACCGCGUUCGAAGCCUUCCUCCCGUUCUUCAGCAUCUCGGCGUUCUCGGCGACUUGCACUGGCAAAUCGUACAUCAGCGGACAACGUAGCAGGAAACCGAUCCUCUCCGAAUUGUCGUUCGAGGAUAGGAAUCUCUUCAUAUCAUGCGGAGUGACCGUCUUUUGGAGCGCCAGGAAAUUCGAGCGGAAGUAAUCGCUCACCUCGUCGUCGUCCAUUUUCUUUUUUCCACACACUUUCUGUACUUCGACGUUUUAGUUUUACGAGUGACUGAUUCGCUGCACUGCUUUCUCUUUUAUAGUGUUCACAUGGCUCGGGAGAAGAAAGGACGUUGACCAACGAUUUUUCAGAAAGAUUUUCCACUUCUUUGGUGACACGCAAUUUGAUUGGCAAUGUUGCACUCGAGUGUAAACACGUUGCCGGUCGACGAUAGUCGAAGCUACUGGAUAUCGUCCAAACAUCCGAAAACCUCAUCUAUUCCCGUACGUGCUAUUUCUAGUGCUACUCUAGAGUUUGUGUGCGAUGCAACGAGGAUAUGCAACACAGGCAUGUUCGAUGGCAGGUUGAUUAGGGAAUUUAAUGGUUCUAAUCUGUUUUACAAGCAGCAGAAUCCUUUGGUUGAAACUUGUUGGGAUUAACGUAGACCAUCGAUAUUACUACUACGGAGUUGUUUGGACUUGACGAAAAUAAAUAAUUUACACACGUACAGCGUAUGCGAUAUAAACCAUAUAUUUAUAUGUGGUUGUUGUUGCAAGUUUGCAAUUUAAGUACAUACAUAUGUACAGAGAUUUACAAAAUAUCGAUAUCGAAAUGUACUUUGAAAAGCAUCGAUCGGUUAAUUUGAAAACGCAUUUUGUAAAUCAUUCGGACGAAUGCUGAUUGGGCUAUCGAUGAUUUUAAAGUGCGUUAAUUCUAAUGGUACGAUGAAUACUAAGCGAUGAUUACUUUGUUAAUUGUACUAUUAACGAUAACAAAGUUUGCUCUCGUCAAAGUUCUUUCUUCGAAUCGCGAAUCGUGUAUGUAUCUCCCCGUUAAUAAGAAAAUAUUGACAGUUGGUUGUUAAUCAGAUGUUUCGAAAAUUAUUUGCGAUAAAUUUUAAUUGACAUGUACUGUUUGAAAAGAGUGUCAUUAGGGGGAAAUGCAAAAGAACUCAAGUGCAUAGAUAUACAUAUAUAUAUAUAUAUAUAUAUAUAUAUAUAUACCCUGUCUCGUCAAUUAUGAGUAACAUGUAAAAACGAAACGAGAAAAGAGAAUUUUAAAAUAGCUAAACGGCUAAUUGUACUAGAAAAUACUCGUUAAAAAGAUCUGCACGACGAACAAGCGGAAACGUUCGUUCCUCUCUAAAUUG
Molecule: long non-coding RNA, 2965 nt
Organism: Frieseomelitta varia
Lineage: Eukaryota; Metazoa; Arthropoda; Insecta; Hymenoptera; Apidae
Exons: 2
Source: RefSeq, a predicted model, not a curated record